UACGGGGGGGGCAAGCGUUGUUCGGAAUUACUGGGCGUAAAGGGCUCGUAGGUGGCCAACUAAGUCAUACGUGAAAUCCCUCGGCUUAACCGGGGAACUGCGUCUGAUACUGGAUGGCUUGAGGUUGGGAGAGGGAUGCGGAAUUCCAGGUGUAGCGGUGAAAUGCGUAGAUAUCUGGAGGAACACCGGUGGCGAAGGCGGCAUCCUGGACCGGCAUUGACGCUGAGGCGCGAAAGCCAGGGGAGCAAACGGG
This 253-nucleotide ribosomal RNA is filed under the name uncultured bacterium. RNAcentral describes it as "partial 16S ribosomal RNA". It matches the Rfam family "Bacterial small subunit ribosomal RNA", at positions 524 to 776 of the family's 1533-position model. The record is from RNAcentral.